Molecule: long non-coding RNA, 1180 nt
Organism: Astyanax mexicanus (Mexican tetra)
Lineage: Eukaryota; Metazoa; Chordata; Actinopteri; Characiformes; Acestrorhamphidae
Exons: 3
Source: RefSeq, a predicted model, not a curated record
AAUGCUAACUAGCUUAGCUAACCUCACAGCUCAGCUACAGGAAAAUUAUUAGAGAUAGCAGCUAAACUUUAUCUCUGAGGUAAAUAUUACUAAGAGUAUGGAAAUAUAAUUUUCUAUAAUAUUUAUUUAGACUUGUAAUAGACCAGUGUUGCAGAAAAUAAUCAUUUUAAUCAGAAAAUAUUACCUAAAGUUAAUUUAACUAAUUCAGUUAAGCGUUAAGUUGGCUAAAAGUUAAAUGGUAAGCUUUCUAGCUAACCUAGCUAGCUUCACCUCACAGCAGAGAAGCAUCCGGAAUCAGCAGCUAAUCUCUGAGUGGCCCAGAGUGUCCAGCCAAAUGAGAGUGAUCAGAAUGGACAGCGGCAAAUGGAGAUUCAAUUUCACACGUCACCUGCUCCUCCUUAGAGUGGAAUACAAUCCUGUUUGAAGGAGAAGGGAAAUUACAGCUUUAAAUCUUCAUAUUCUUUCUCCAAAUCUGGAAAAGUGACAGAUGAGCUCGAUAUCACCCAGACGAGAGUGAGAAGAUGCCACCCCUCAGACAGAGAGAGGAGAGAGAAGAUGGGCACAGUGGUGUCCAGCACAUCGUCUGUCCUCUCCCUCAGCCCAGUUUAUUUCCUGGAAGAAUAUAUAUAUGUAUUUUGAGGAAAGUAAAUCCCUAAUUGCUGCUGCGGCGGGAAGUCGGGCCAGGAGAUGGAGAGGUAAGAGCAGUGUGUUCUGUGGCACGGCGUUCUGGUGAAAGACCUUUUUGUGACAGGGUCUCUUUAUCCAGCAGGGGAGGCCUGUAUCCAGAUAUUAAACAACCCCAGCACAAAAUAACUUAUUAUAGCCAACAGGAGCCCAGACCCAUUUCUGAAUUAUAGAUCUAUCUACAGCUCUGUAAUAAAUGAAGAGAUCGCUUCAGUUUCUGAAUCAGUUUCUCUGAUUUAGCUAUUUAUAGGUUUAUGUUUGAGUAAAAUGAACAUUGUUGUUUUAUUCUAUAAACUACAGACAACAUUUCUCCCAAAUUCCACAUAAAAAUAUUCUCAUUUAGAGCAUUUAUUUACAGAAAAUGAGAAAUGACUGAAAUAACAAAAAAGACGCAGAGCUUUCAGACCUCAAAUAAUGCAAAGAAAACAAGUUCAUAUUCAUAAAGUUUUAAGAGUUCAGAAAUAAUCAAUAUUUGGUGGAAUAACCCUGGUUUUUG